UCAAAAAUCCAUUCUGAGAAGCUGCCUUGAUGGAAUGUUGUGUCUCUUCUCCAGUGAUUGGAUAGAGACAUUCAUGCACAAGAGGAAAGUUGUUUUAUGCAAGUUGCAAACCCUGCUAAUAAGACUGAAGGGAAGGGGAGGCCCUUUUCAAAGAAAUGAGGAGACGAGAGCAUGGAAAGCUUCCCUUGCCCAAGUGACCAGGCAGCAAGGGGCAGAGCCGUCGUCACAACCCAGGCUGGAGGGUGCAACAUCCACGAUCUUAGCCACCAGCCUGUCCGUUGAGGCAGGACAGGACAGCUGCUGGAACAAAGUGCUGUCUCCCCCUUGGACUCCUCCAAAUACAAGGGAUGAUCUCCUGAGACGGGCAAAGUCCCUGGCAGAUGAAGGAAGGAGCUGGAAAGCCAGAGCCCAGGACCCAGCCUUGAGUCUGGGACUUGCUUUGUACCCUAAACCACCAUGACCAGGGAUGCGGUUCAGGGUCCCACUUUACUGUUCGUCCUUUUGACUCUGGGUUCUCUCGCUGCUCUGUGGACACGUGGUGGGUUUCUAGAGAAAAAGCCAGGAAGAG
Molecule: long non-coding RNA, 568 nt
Organism: Propithecus coquereli (Coquerel's sifaka)
Lineage: Eukaryota; Metazoa; Chordata; Mammalia; Primates; Indriidae
Exons: 3
Source: RefSeq, a predicted model, not a curated record